Molecule: ribosomal RNA, 435 nt
Filed under: uncultured Saccharofermentans sp.
Lineage: Bacteria; Bacillati; Bacillota; Clostridia; Eubacteriales; Oscillospiraceae
Description: partial 16S ribosomal RNA
Rfam family: Bacterial small subunit ribosomal RNA
Source: RNAcentral
ACGGAAGGCAGCAGUGGGGAAUAUUGGGCAAUGGGCGCAAGCCUGACCUAGCAACGCCGCGUGAAGGAUGAAGGUCCUCGGAUUGUAAACUUCUUUGAUCAGGGACGAAUUUUGACGGUACCUGGAGAACAAGUCACGGCUAACUACGUGCCAGCAGCCGCGGUAAUACGUAGGUGACAAGCGUUAUCCGGAUUUACUGGGUGUAAAGGGCGUGUAGGCGGUUUAGCAAGUCAGAAGUGAAAUUCCCGGGCUUAACUUGGGCGCUGCUUCUGAAACUGCUUUACUUGAGUACUGGAGAGGAUAGUGGAAUUCCUAGUGUAGCGGUAAAAUGCGCAGAUAUUAGGAGGAACACCGGUGGCGAAGGCGGCUAUCUGGACAGUAACUGACGCUGAGGCGCGAAAGCACGGGGAGCAAACAGGAUUAGAUACCCUGGUA